AUCGAAGGUCUCUGCCAUGUGUGGCACAUGUAGAGUAGCUCACUUGCUUCAUAUGUGGAAUCAAGAUCAAGAGAUUCCAGAAGCAUAUUUUUUGGCAACAGGGCAGCUUAUCCAUGUUCCCCA
This 123-nucleotide small nuclear RNA is filed under the name Sorex araneus (European shrew). RNAcentral describes it as "U11 spliceosomal RNA (ENSSARG00000017062.1)". It matches the Rfam family "U11 spliceosomal RNA". The record is from RNAcentral. Lineage: Eukaryota; Metazoa; Chordata; Mammalia; Eulipotyphla; Soricidae.